This 431-nucleotide ribosomal RNA is filed under the name uncultured bacterium. RNAcentral describes it as "partial 16S ribosomal RNA". It matches the Rfam family "Bacterial small subunit ribosomal RNA", at positions 29 to 507 of the family's 1533-position model. The record is from RNAcentral.
AACGAACGCUGGCGGCAGGCCUAACACAUGCAAGUCGAACGCCCCGCCAGGGGAGUGGCUGACGGGUGGGUAACGCGUGGGAAGCUACUCAUACCUACGGAACAACGCAUGGAAACGUGUGCUACUACCGUAUACGCCCUAUGGGGGAAAGAUAUAUCGAGGACGGCUGAGAUCGCGAUGGAUUAGCUAGUUGGUGGUGUAAAGGCCAACGAAGGCGACGAUACAUAGCUGGUCUGAGAGGAUGAGCAGACACAUUCGGGCGGAGACACAGCCCGAACUCCUACGGGAUGCGGGAGAGGGGAAUAUUGGACAGUGGGGGCAAGGAUGAAGCACCCAUGCCGGGUGAGUGAUGAAGGCCUUAGAGUUGUAAAGCUCUUGCAACGGAGAAGAUAAUGACGGUAUCCGGAGAGAAAGCCCCGGCUAACUUCGUG